Alligator mississippiensis (American alligator) is the source of this 740-nucleotide long non-coding RNA. RefSeq lists it as uncharacterized. The record is from RefSeq and is a predicted model, not a curated record. The transcript has 4 exons. NCBI's taxonomy places the organism in Eukaryota, Metazoa, Chordata, Crocodylia, Alligatoridae.
GGGCAGGAGAGAGGAAGCAACAACUUGGCUUUCACAGCUGGAGAGGGGAGAGCUUCAGCAGCACGACUGGCUAAAGUCAGUGGAAACAAGCCAGGAGCCAGUGGAGGACCGUGGGCCACCCCAGAAACUGCUCCAGAGUGGGUUCAUGGACUCAUAUGUCUGCUUCACUGACACUGGUCAAGGAAGUUAGUCCUCUGAGGGAAUGGUGGGGGACAACCCUUACGAGGAGGCAGCUCCAGCCCUAUCUCCAGGCCCUGCUUUGGCUAAAUCUCAAUGUGGAUGCUCUUCUUGUGGCUCUCGGCUACACGAUGGUCCUUGGCCUGCUGUGGGUAAGGAGACGUGCAGACUUAACCUGGCAGGGCUCAGAGUGAUCACUUCAAGUGGCUUUGGUUGGCCUUGGACAUCCUUGAAGCACUUUUUCUGCCCUCCUCUUGAGUGUAUGCCUUGACUGAGCUGGGAAAAUAAAACUUGCUUCAGGAGUCUGGAGCCAGACAUCCAGAUGACGUGGCUGGCCCAGAGAGGUUGACAUUAGAUGAACGUUGCCUCACUUCUCGUGGUGUUUACUUGCAAGAGAAUGCUAAUGUUGGUGCAUCUGUCUUCCUACUGGAUUCGAAGGAUCUUCCGCAGGCAGUAUUGAUGGUGCUUCUCCAGCUGCUUGAGGUGUCUCCUGUAUGUUGUCCAUAUCUCGGCUCCAUACAGUAAGGUGGGGAUCACAAUUGUUUGAUAAACCGUGAGCUUGG